ACGUACAUUCCUUCUGAUACAAAGCUGAACGUCUCGUCUGGAGGGAAAUCGUUUUAGUUUGAAGACACCGUGUGAUUUACUCGUGGACACAGUGCUGCUCUUGAAAAGCUACAGACUCAGAUGCAUUGUCGAGGCCAGGCUCUAAUUUUCAUUCUCAAGCCGAUGGGAAACAGAGA
Molecule: long non-coding RNA, 176 nt
Organism: Pleuronectes platessa (European plaice)
Lineage: Eukaryota; Metazoa; Chordata; Actinopteri; Pleuronectiformes; Pleuronectidae
Exons: 3
Source: RefSeq, a predicted model, not a curated record